GAGCAAACAGGAUUAGAUACCCUGGUAGUCCACGCCGUAAACGAUGUCUACUUGGAGGUUGUGCCCUUGAGGCGUGGCUUCCGGAGCUAACGCGUUAAGUAGACCGCCUGGGGAGUACGGCCGCAAGGUUAAAACUCAAAUGAAUUGACGGGGGCCCGCACAAGCGGUGGAGCAUGUGGUUUAAUUCGAUGCAACGCGAAGAACCUUACCUGGUCUUGACAUCCACAGAAGAAUCCAGAGAUGGAUUUGUGCCUUCGGGAACUGUGAGACAGGUGCUGCAUGGCUGUCGUCAGCUCGUGUUGUGAAAUGUUGGGUUAAGUCCCGCAACGAGCGCAACCCUUAU
RNAcentral lists this ribosomal RNA (343 nucleotides) under Salmonella enterica subsp. enterica serovar Typhimurium. RNAcentral's name for it is "bacterial SSU rRNA". It matches the Rfam family "Bacterial small subunit ribosomal RNA", at positions 766 to 1108 of the family's 1533-position model. Lineage: Bacteria; Pseudomonadati; Pseudomonadota; Gammaproteobacteria; Enterobacterales; Enterobacteriaceae. The record is from RNAcentral.